This 309-nucleotide unclassified non-coding RNA is filed under the name plant metagenome. RNAcentral describes it as "partial contains 5.8S ribosomal RNA, internal transcribed spacer 2, and large subunit ribosomal RNA". The stretch from base 1 to 105 matches the Rfam family "5.8S ribosomal RNA", at positions 50 to 154 of the family's 154-position model. The record is from RNAcentral.
GAAAUGCGAUAAGUAGUGUGAAUUGCAGAAUUCAGUGAAUCAUCGAAUCUUUGAACGCACAUUGCGCCCCUUGGUAUUCCAUGGGGCAUGCCUGUUCGGGCGUCAUUUGUACCCUCAAGCUCUGCUUGGUGUUGGGUGCUUGUCCCGUCUCCGCGCGUGGACUCGCCCCAAAGUGAUUGGCAGCCGGCGUACUGGUCCCGGAGCGCAGCACAUGUCGCGCAAACGAGUGCCUUGGUACGGCGGCGUCCAUAAGCCCCUCUCUCACGCUCUUGACCUCGGAUCAGGUAGUGAUACCCGCUGAACUUAAGC